CUGGUUUCUGCAGCUCUGGGCUGGCAGGCUGCUGCUGACGUCUAUUCUCCUGCAAGGCUUUCUCCCGCUGCUCAUAGAAGUCAAAGUCUUCAAGAAUGUUCGUCUCCGAUUCAUGGUUCUUGAAGAUAGUUAACAUCUGCAGACCAUACAGCUUUUUUACCUCCUGGGUGUCCCUGCUAUUAGUUACAGGUUUGUUGUCAUUGUUCUCAAGAAUGAUGUGCCGCAGCAGGUUGUUCGGGACAUCCUUAAUAAUGUGCCACUUCACAGGGAACUGGCCACUCCACUUGUCCUGCUGCCAAUAAUCGACACUUUUGUCAAAAUCGACGGGUCCAAUCAUCUCAGCUACACCACAGAACUGACCACUGCCAUUAACCUGCAAAAAACGAGAAAAAUAGGGCAAUAGUCUUCUUUUUCUUUGGCCAAGCGAUAAGCAGAAUCCAGCUUUCUAUUCCCACUAGCUGUACUGGCCCAAACAUUGUACUUAAUGCUCCUAUGUACAUGGUCCUCAGUGUAGGACUUUA
This 521-nucleotide small RNA is filed under the name Oryza sativa Japonica Group (Japanese rice). RNAcentral's name for it is "sRNA Os08g0224250". The record is from RNAcentral. Lineage: Eukaryota; Viridiplantae; Streptophyta; Magnoliopsida; Poales; Poaceae.